This 253-nucleotide ribosomal RNA is filed under the name uncultured bacterium. RNAcentral describes it as "partial 16S ribosomal RNA". It matches the Rfam family "Bacterial small subunit ribosomal RNA", at positions 524 to 776 of the family's 1533-position model. The record is from RNAcentral.
UACGGAGGGUGCUAGCGUUGUUCGGAAUCACUGGGCGUAAAGGGCGUGUAGGCGGUCUGUUAAGUCUGAUGUGAAAUCCCCUCGCUCAACGAGGGAACUGCGUCGGAUACUGGCAGACUUGAGUACCGGAGAGGAAGGUGGAAUUCCCGGUGUAGCGGUGAAAUACGUAGAGAUUGGGAAGAACACCAGUGGCGAAGGCGGCUAUCUGGACGGUUUCUGACGCUAAGACGCGAAAGCGUGGGGAGCAAACAGG